CUGAAGAAUAACUUAUAUUGCACAGUAAAGUACUUAUAUUGCACAACGCGGUUCGAGUUUCACAGUGGUGUGAUACUUGUUGCAGUCUAUUUCACAUGUGUGUGAUGAUUCGUCUUGUUGGGUUUGUUCUCCUUAUUGUUUGGUUUGUUCAUGGGAGUUCAGGGCACUGAUGGCUCUGGGGAAAAAGCUGUCCCUGAGUCUGUUUGUACGGGCUUUGUGAGCUCU
Long non-coding RNA from Melanotaenia boesemani (Boeseman's rainbowfish), 225 nucleotides. RefSeq lists it as uncharacterized. The transcript is spliced from 4 exons. Lineage: Eukaryota; Metazoa; Chordata; Actinopteri; Atheriniformes; Melanotaeniidae. The record is from RefSeq and is a predicted model, not a curated record.